RNAcentral lists this ribosomal RNA (882 nucleotides) under uncultured fungus. Its description in RNAcentral is "eukaryotic LSU rRNA". The stretch from base 433 to 586 matches the Rfam family "5.8S ribosomal RNA". The record is from RNAcentral. Lineage: Eukaryota; Fungi.
UUCUUGGUCAUUUAGAGGAAGUAAAAGUCGUAACAAGGUUUCCGUAGGUGAACCUGCGGAAGGAUCAUUAAAGAAAUUUAAUAAUUUUGAAAAUGGAUUUUUUUGUUUUGGCAAGAGCAUGAGAGCUUUUACUGGGCAAGAAGACAAGAGAUGGAGAGUCCAGCCGGGCCUGCGCUUAAGUGCGCGGUCUUGCUAGGCUUGUAAGUUUCUUUCUUGCUAUUCCAAACGGUGAGAGAUUUCUGUGCUUUUGUUAUAGGACAAUUAAAACCGUUUCAAUACAACACACUGUGGAGUUUUCAUAUCUUUGCAACUUUUUCUUUGGGCAUUCGAGCAAUCGGGGCCCAGAGGUAACAAACACAAACAAUUUCAUCUAUUCAUUAAAUUUUUGUCAAAAACAAGAAUUUUCGUAACUGGAAAUUUUAAAAUAUUAAAAACUUUCAACAACAGAUCUCUUGGUUCUCGCAUCGAUGAAGAACGCAGCGAAAUGCGAUACGUAAUGUGAAUUGCAGAAUUCCGUGAAUCAUCGAAUCUUUGAACGCACAUUGCGCCCCUUGGUAUUCCAGGGGGCAUGCCUGUUUGAGCGUCAUUUCCUUCUCAAACAUUCUGUUUGGUAGUGAGUGAUACUCUUUGGAGUUAACUUGAAAUUGCUGGCCUUUUCAUUGGAUGUUUUUUUUCCAAAGAGAGGUUUCUCUGCGUGCUUGAGGUAUAAUGCAAGUACGGUCGUUUUAGGUUUUACCAACUGCGGCUAAUCUUUUUUUAUACUGAGCGUAUUGGAACGUUAUCGAUAAGAAGAGAGCGUCUAGGCGAACAAUGUUCUUAAAGUUUGACCUCAAAUCAGGUAGGAGUACCCGCUGAACUUAAGCAUAUCAAUAAGCGGAGGAA